This 94-nucleotide small nuclear RNA is filed under the name Suricata suricatta (meerkat). The record is from RNAcentral. Lineage: Eukaryota; Metazoa; Chordata; Mammalia; Carnivora; Herpestidae.
GUGCUCGCUUUAGCAGCACAUAUACCAAAGUUGGAACAAUACAGAGAAGAUUAGCAUGGCCCCUGUGUAAACUAUUGCAACAUAUUACUUUUUU